This 45-nucleotide non-coding RNA is filed under the name Schistosoma haematobium. The record is from RNAcentral. Lineage: Eukaryota; Metazoa; Platyhelminthes; Trematoda; Strigeidida; Schistosomatidae.
AUCCACCCGACGAGUCUCAAAUAGGACGAAACGUGCGCCCUGUAU